ACACCAGCCCAGAAAUGUCACCGGUAAGCGCAACAGCAGACACUAGAAGAUAUGUCAUCCCUAUGCAUUAUCCAGAGAAAGUACUGGAAGGAAGCCAGCCACUGCCCAUGAGUCGGAGCAGAGGACACCCCCCUGACAUCAAGGUCUAGUGGCAACAGAAAAAUGCAGACAGAUCGAUAUGGAUGGUCAUGCUCAUGUUCCUCACAGGAAACGGUGCUUCUGAACGUUCCUCACAGGAAACAGAGCUUCUAAACAUUCCAGCUUCCGAUAAGUCCAUGUCUGUUGUGUAUUGGCUGCAAAGAAAACCUCAAGGAACUAAAAAGUAGAAUAAUUUAAAUGAUCCUAUUAUCCAAAUAUUGUAAAAUAAAUAACGGAAAGUGCUACCUCUUCCCCCUAAAACUUAGAAACCAACACACUCCCAGGUAGCCCUUGGGUAAAACAGGAUAUUAAAUCUGAAUGUGCGCUCUCUGAAAAGCCAAGAAACCAUAAAUAUUGAUCCAGCGCUGAGGACUCAGCUAAUGCAGCGUCCAGAGCCCCCAGCACAGCUCUUGUUUUUUAGAGGAAAAAAUAAACGGGAGGGAAUUUGUGCCAUCCUAAGAAACUAAAAUGAGAACAAGAAAGUGUAUUUUAAAAAGUAGGGAGAAUUAUGAAGAUAAAGCCAGAAAUUAAUGAAGUAGAAAACAAAUAAGUAAAGAGGAGAAAUGAUUGUUUUUCUGAAAUAAAUAAAAUAAAAUCCCCUUGCCCAGCCCAAAAGCUGCAUCAAGAAAUGACUGCCUAGGCUGGGCACGGUGGCUCAUGCCUAUAAUGCCCACACUUUGGGAAGCAGAGGUGGGCGGAUCGCUUGAGGCCUGGAGUUUGAGACCAUCCUGGCCAAUACGGUGAAACCCUGUAUUUGCAAAAAUACACAAACUAGCCGGGCGUGGUGGUGUGCGCCUAUAGUCCCAGCUACUUGGGAGGCUAAGGCAGAACAAUUGCUUGAAUCUGGGAGGCAGAGGCUGCAGUGAACUGACAUAGUGACCCUGCACUCCAGCCUGGGUGAUAAAAUGAGACUCUGUUUCCAAAAGAAAAAAAAAACCACAAAAAUGAAAACUAAAUAAAUAAGUGACUAUAUUUAGAAUUUACGUACAUUGAAAUAGAAAAACCCACACACGAUUAGGAAGAAGGAGACCCCAGUAUGGAAGAGGCUGGAGAAAUGAGACAGCCCACUCGGCCGGGGCAGCUGCUUGGAAACCUGCAGCAGCAGACCAUGUUGUCCUGGGUGUAAAGUCCAGAAUGACUCUGGACAAGCGGCACCACGCGGAGAUGAGCACAAGGAGCUGGAGAGGGCGACAGCUGAGCCAGGAAAGGAGGCUCCAGGAGCAGAUGUCCGCAGCUGACGAUGACCUCACCUUCCAUGGAAAGAAAGUCAUCCCAGGGUUACUUUAACCUUCCCAAGACAUGAAAGGAUGGAAAACUCUGUAAUUCAUCUCAUGAAACCAGGAUACUUUAAUUCAAAAACCUGAUGUGGAACAAAAAGAGAAAACCAUAGACAAAUAUCACUUUCAGAAGAUGCAAAAAAAUCUAACAGAAUAGCAAAUAGGACUCAACGCCGCGUCAGCAGAUUCUACACAGGUGAAGAGCAAAUAGGACCCAACACAGCUUCCAUGGCAUCAUGUAUGGCCAAGCAGAUGAAGGCCAGGCUUACGAGGGCAGCCCAGCAAUCAGAGACAUCAUUUCAUUAGCCAAUUAGCACAGAAAAUUCAGAGAACCCCAUCGACAGGUACUGAAAAGAAAAUUGACCAAAUUCAGCAAUCGUUAUGAAUAAAAGCUCUAUUUCUAGUAAAAUAGAAAAAA
Macaca mulatta (Rhesus monkey) is the source of this 1833-nucleotide long non-coding RNA. NCBI's taxonomy places the organism in Eukaryota, Metazoa, Chordata, Mammalia, Primates, Cercopithecidae. The record is from Ensembl.